This 492-nucleotide ribosomal RNA is filed under the name uncultured bacterium. RNAcentral's name for it is "partial 16S ribosomal RNA". It matches the Rfam family "Bacterial small subunit ribosomal RNA", at positions 28 to 507 of the family's 1533-position model. The record is from RNAcentral.
GAUGAACGCUAGCUACAGGCUUAACACAUGCAAGUCGAGGGGAAACGACAUCGAAAGCUUGCUUUUGAUGGGCGUCGACCGGCGCACGGGUGAGUAACGCGUAUCCAACCUGCCCAUCACUUGGGAAUAACCUUGCGAAAGUAAGACUAAUACCCAAUGACAUCCCACGAAGACAUCUGAAUGGGAUUAAAGAUUUAUCGGUGAUGGAUGGGGAUGCGUCUGAUUAGCUUGUUGGCGGGGUAACGGCCCACCAAGGCAACGAUCAGUAGGGGUUCUGAGAGGAAGGUCCCCCAAAUUGGAACUGAGACACGGUCCAAACUCCUACGGGAGGCAGCAGUGAGGAAUAUUGGUCAAGGGGCGAGAGCCUGAACCAGCCAAGUAGCGUGCAGGAUGACGGCCCUAUGGGUUGUAAACUGCUUUUAUAAGGGAAUAAAGUGGGUCUCGUGAGACUUUUUGCAUGUACCUUAUGAAUAAGGACCGGCUAAUUCCGUG